GACGAACGCUGGCGGCGUGCCUAACACAUGCAAGUCGAACGGAACUGUUUUGAAAGCUUUCUUCGGAAUGAAUUUGAUUUAGUUUAGUGGCGGACGGGUGAGUAACGCGUGAGUAACCUGCCUUCAAGAGGGGAAUAACAUUCUGAAAAGAAUGCUAAUACCGCAUGACAUAUCGGAACCACAUGGUUUUGAUAUCAAAGAUUUUAUCGCUUGAAGAUGGACUCGCGUCCGAUUAGUUAGUUGGUGAGGUAACGGCUCACCAAGACCGCGAUCGGUAGCCGGACUGAGAGGUUGAACGGCCACAUUGGGACUGAGACACGGCCCAGACUCCUACGGGAGGCAGCAGUGGGGGAUAUUGCGCAAUGGGGGCAACCCUGACGCAGCAACGCCGCGUGAAGGAGGAAGGUUUUCGGAUUGUAAACUUCUUUUAUUAAGGACGAAAAAUGACGGUACUUAAUGAAUAAGCUCCGGCUAACUACGUG
This 482-nucleotide ribosomal RNA is filed under the name uncultured bacterium. RNAcentral describes it as "partial 16S ribosomal RNA". It matches the Rfam family "Bacterial small subunit ribosomal RNA", at positions 28 to 507 of the family's 1533-position model. The record is from RNAcentral.